AGUGAACGCUGGCGGUAGGCCUAACACAUGCAAGUCGAACGGCAGCACAGUAAGAGCUUGCUCUUACGGGUGGCGAGUGGCGGACGGGUGAGGAAUACAUCGGAAUCUACUUUUUCGUGGGGAUAACGUAGGGAAACUUACGCUAAUACCGCAUACGACCUACGGGUGAAAGCAGGGGAUCUUCGGACCUUGCGCGAUUGAAUGAGCCGAUGUCGGAUUAGCUAGUUGGCGGGGUAAAGGCCCACCAAGGCGACGAUCCGUAGCUGGUCUGAGAGGAUGAUCAGCCACACUGGAACUGAGACACGGUCCAGACUCCUACGGGAGGCAGCAGUGGGGAAUAUUGGACAAUGGGCGCAAGCCUGAUCCAGCCAUACCGCGUGGGUGAAGAAGGCCUUCGGGUUGUAAAGCCCUUUUGUUGGGAAAGAAAAGCAGCAGGUUAAUACCCCGCUGUUCUGACGGUACCCAAAGAAUAAGCACCGGCUAACCUCGUG
Molecule: ribosomal RNA, 491 nt
Filed under: uncultured bacterium
Lineage: Bacteria
Description: partial 16S ribosomal RNA
Rfam family: Bacterial small subunit ribosomal RNA
Source: RNAcentral